AGGAAUUUGUGUGGGUAAGGAUGCUUCCCUUUUUCUUUCAGUUGUAUGAUGGCAUCACUUCGAAUCUGAUGGUAUUGCUGGGGCCCCCAUGCCAGUUCAGCUGCUGCUUUUAUCCCCU
Long non-coding RNA from Gavialis gangeticus (Gharial), 118 nucleotides. RefSeq lists it as uncharacterized. NCBI's taxonomy places the organism in Eukaryota, Metazoa, Chordata, Crocodylia, Gavialidae. The transcript has 3 exons. The record is from RefSeq and is a predicted model, not a curated record.